This 486-nucleotide ribosomal RNA is filed under the name uncultured bacterium. Its description in RNAcentral is "partial 16S ribosomal RNA". It matches the Rfam family "Bacterial small subunit ribosomal RNA", at positions 30 to 507 of the family's 1533-position model. The record is from RNAcentral.
AUUGAACGCUGGCGGCAUGCCUUACACAUGCAAGUCGAACGGCAGCACGGGUGCUUGCACCUGGUGGCGAGUGGCGAACGGGUGAGUAAUACAUCGGAACAUGUCCUUUAGUGGGGGAUAGCCCGGCGAAAGCCGGAUUAAUACCGCAUACGAUCUACGGAUGAAAGCGGGGGACCUUCGGGCCUCGCGCUAUAGGGUUGGCCGAUGGCUGAUUAGCUAGUUGGUGGGGUAAAGGCCUACCAAGGCGACGAUCAGUAGCUGGUCUGAGAGGACGACCAGCCACACUGGGACUGAGACACGGCCCAGACUCCUACGGGAGGCAGCAGUGGGGAAUUUUGGACAAUGGGCGAAAGCCUGAUCCAGCAAUGCCGCGUGUGUGAAGAAGGCCUUCGGGUUGUAAAGCACUUUUGUCCGGAAAGAAAUCCUUGGCCCUAAUACGGUCGGGGGAUGACGGUACCGGAAGAAUAAGCACCGGCUAACUACGUG